Molecule: ribosomal RNA, 474 nt
Filed under: uncultured Rhodoferax sp.
Lineage: Bacteria; Pseudomonadati; Pseudomonadota; Betaproteobacteria; Burkholderiales; Comamonadaceae
Description: bacterial SSU rRNA
Rfam family: Bacterial small subunit ribosomal RNA
Source: RNAcentral
UGAAUUGACGGGACCCGCACAAGCGGUGGAUGAUGUGGUUUAAUUCGAUGCAACGCGAAAAACCUUACCCACCUUUGACAUGUACGGAACCCUUUAGAGAUAGAGGGGUGCUCGAAAGAGAGCCGUAACACAGGUGCUGCAUGGCUGUCGUCAGCUCGUGUCGUGAGAUGUUGGGUUAAGUCCCGCAACGAGCGCAACCCUUGUCAUUAGUUGCUACAUUCAGUUGGGCACUCUAAUGAGCUGCCGGUGACAAGCCGGAGGAAGGUGGGGAUGACGUCAAGUCCUCAUGGCCCUUAUAGGUGGGGCUACACACGUCAUACAAUGGCUGGUACAAAGGGUUGCCAACCCGCGAGGGGGAGCCAAUCCCAUAAAGCCAGUCGUAGUCCGGAUCGUAGUCUGCAACUCGACUACGUGAAGUCGGAAUCGCUAGUAAUCGUGGAUCAGAAUGUCACGGUGAAUACGUUCCCGGGUCUU